This 460-nucleotide ribosomal RNA is filed under the name uncultured bacterium. RNAcentral describes it as "partial 16S ribosomal RNA". It matches the Rfam family "Bacterial small subunit ribosomal RNA", at positions 338 to 795 of the family's 1533-position model. The record is from RNAcentral.
CCUACGGGCGGCAGCAGUGAGGAAUAUUGGUCAAUGGGCGGGAGCCUGCACCAGCCAAGUCGCGUGAGGGAAGACGGUCCUAUGGAUUGUAAACCUCUUUAGGCGGGGAGCAAUGCCGGGCACGUGUGCCCGGAGGGAGAGUACCCGCAGAAUAAGCAUCGGCUAACUCCGUGCCAGCAGCCGCGGUAAUACGGAGGAUGCGAGCGUUGUCCGGAUUUAUUGGGUUUAAAGGGUGAGUAGGCGGAUUUUUAAGUCGGCGGGAAAAUGUCGGGGUUAAAACCGGGGCGGCCGGUAAAACUGGGGAUCUUGAGUGGGCGAGAAGUAUGCGGAAUGCGUGGUGUAGCGGUGAAAUGCAUAGAUAUCACGCAGAACUCCGAUUGCGAAGGCAGCAUACCGGCGCCCGACUGACGCUGAGGCACGAAAGCGUGGGGAUCGAACAGGAUUAGAUACCCCUGUAGUC